Long non-coding RNA from Microtus oregoni (creeping vole), 346 nucleotides. RefSeq lists it as uncharacterized. The transcript has 3 exons. The record is from RefSeq and is a predicted model, not a curated record. NCBI's taxonomy places the organism in Eukaryota, Metazoa, Chordata, Mammalia, Rodentia, Cricetidae.
GCUGUAUUUCCAGCUCAGCUCUCCUAGUUUCUGCUUCAGUAAAUAUCUCCUGAAUGAAAUAUUUGAAGUGACAGCGGGUAACAGCCAGACGGAGAAAGAAUGGGCUGUUUUAUGGGGAACUUAAAUUUGUGCUCUAACCUACCUCAACCCAGCACAAUCCUGAACCGUGAAAACACUGGCUCCAAAUCAGAAAUGGGAACUGCUCUACCACUGGAGGACUCCAUAUGGUGACAUCAAAACCCUCAUCCUAGAAAAACACAGGAAGAAGAUGCACAUCUGGCCUUGAAACUUUACUGUCCUGCAUAAAGGAGGUUGGAGCUGGUCCAUUAUCACUGUGUUGCUGCAG